Molecule: ribosomal RNA, 497 nt
Filed under: uncultured bacterium
Lineage: Bacteria
Description: partial 16S ribosomal RNA
Rfam family: Bacterial small subunit ribosomal RNA
Source: RNAcentral
GAUGAACGCUGGCGGCGUGCCUAAUACAUGCAAGUCGAGCGAACAGACGAGGAGCUUGCUCCUCUGACGUUAGCGGCGGACGGGUGAGUAACACGUGGAUAACCUACCUAUAAGACUGGGAUAACUUCGGGAAACCGGAGCUAAUACCGGAUAAUAUAUUGAACCGCAUGGUUCAAUAGUGAAAGACGGUUUUGCUGUCACUUAUAGAUGGAUCCGCGCCGCAUUAGCUAGUUGGUAAGGUAACGGCUUACCAAGGCAACGAUGCGUAGCCGACCGGAGAGGGUGAUCGGCCACACUGGAACUGGGACACGGUCCAGACUCCUACGGGAGGCAGCAGUAGGGAAUCUUCCGCAAUGGGCGAAAGCAUGACGGAGCAACGCGGCGUGAGUGAUGAAGGUCUUCGGAUCGUAAAGCUCUGUUAUUAGGGAAGAACAAAUGUGUAAGUAACUAUGCACGUCUUGACGGUACCUAAUCAGAAAGCCACGGCUAACUACGUG